Molecule: long non-coding RNA, 3203 nt
Organism: Prinia subflava (tawny-flanked prinia)
Lineage: Eukaryota; Metazoa; Chordata; Aves; Passeriformes; Cisticolidae
Exons: 6
Source: RefSeq, a predicted model, not a curated record
CUUACAAAUUGAUAGCUGUUCAGGGCAAUAGUAGAGGGUUUGAGGUUUUUUUUUAUUUUGUUUUGCUUUGUUUUGUGGUGGCUGUGGGGUUUUUCUGAGGGGGGGUAUGUUUAAUUUUUACUACCUUCUUCAAGAGCCAAGGCUUACAUGGCAAUGCUGUCCCUGCUUCUCUUCAUCUGGUCAUUGCACCCAUAAUAACUUUUGAAAUUACAGCUAUUUUCAAGCAAAUUUGGAAUACACUUCAAUUCCUAUGAGAUCUGUGGCACUCACAGGCUGGAGAAUUAUUCAAAAUAAUGUUGCACUAAAUGAAAAGCAGGCAGAAUAUACCUGGUUCUUUGAAAUAAGGAUGAGGUUCCUGAGGUUGGAGGAAUGAACAAGUGAGUGCACAAGGUCUCUGGCAAUCUGAGAAACCCUGUGUAAGAAACUUUAUCUGUUAUCCAGUUUCUGUGUUUGUGAUCCCAGAGCCUCCUGUGGCAGCUGCCUCACGAAGAUAAAGCUGAAAGCAUCCAGAUCCAGCUAAUUCUCCAGCUGAUAAACUAGAAAUAAGAAGUGUGUGAGCUUUGCCAGCUCCCAUGUUUGAAGCUCAGGUGUCAAAGUAAUUGCUCUUUUUUCCAGCUACUAGAAAUUUGGGACUAUAUUAGUUUAUACUGUGACUGGGGACCGUGCAUCAUUCACACACCAGCACAAAUGGCUUCCUGAGCAGGAAAACACGAGCUCCUGGGCCAUCCCAGACCUGCGGCGUGUCCCGGCUGUACCAAGCGUGGGCAUCAAGGACUGCCGAGGACGUCCUUUCAUCGCUGGCUGAGGAACAGGAACUUCACACAAAUAGAAGUUCUAUUUGAAGCUGCCAAGAGCAAAGAACGUGAGAAUUUCUACGGCAAUCACAGGAGAGAAGAAUAACUACUCAAGCAGACACACCACGACAGCAGACUGGUCUCAUAGUGCCACAACCGGACAUUCCCCCAAGGACUGGCAUAGAGGAGAAAGGUACCCCCAUUAUCUUACAUUUUCUCUCUCAGUCUCCUUCCUCCCCAAAUAAAAGACAAAAACCCUCAAAGAACAAAAUCUUGUUAUUUUAGUUCCGAACUGGCAAAAAGACUUUGCAUUUUCUGUAGGAGGAGGUGAUCAAUUUUGUGAUCCUAGAUCCAUGUUUUAGCUGCAAUUAAUUUUUUCUUCUUACUAUAUAGGUUAUGAUCCACAUAUUCUGUACUGUUCUAGUCCACCUAAUCUUUUUCUCAGGAAAUUUUAAAAAAGAAAAGUUGAUGAUCAGUGCUCAUUUCUCUUUUUGCUGUUCCCCAUCACCAGUAAAACACUGUUACAUAAUGCAAAGACGUGGGCGUUAGUAUGUGGUGGUUUUAAACAAAAAAUACACAUCUUGUGCAUCCUGAUCCUUGCUUCUUUGCCCCAUGAAUACCCUUAGCAGUCCCUAUGGAUGGUGCAAUUUUAAAGAAGAUCAUUAUCUCCCUGUACCUUUUACUUCUGACUACAUUUUUCUCCUUGUGAAUGCAUUCAAAGUUUUUGCAGUGUUAAUGGGGUAUUAUUAGUGGUUUUUCUGCAGCAUCCUUCUUAGGAUGUGUCUUAGCAGUUACUUUAAACAUUUUGAAGAACAAAUGUCAGCAUCUGAAUACCAGUUAAUUUACAAGUCCAGUGGGAUUCAUAGAUAAAAAACAGAAAGUAAAACACCAAACGAGCACUUUCAAAUCAGACUGUCUAAAACCACGUAAAAUCAGAACAAUGUUCUGCUGCCAUUUACCACAGAGAACAGGAGUUUACUGCUUUAAUAAAAUGGAGAUGGAGUUGGAUAGUGCAGAAGCUGACUAGAGAAUCUUAAUUCACUACAUAAAUUGUGGUGCAAUUUUUAAAGAUUUUGAGCACCUGAGGCUUUUUAUCAUUUUAGGAUGGCUGAGAACUCCAUUGAAGGUUGCCUGUUUUCAGGCACUGGUAUAACAAUUUUCCAACUCAGCAUCAUGGAAGAAUCAUAUGUCAGUGCGUGUAAGGAUUCUCUAGCAGACAUUUGCAGCCUCCCUCUUUGCAGCUGCUGAUGUGUCCAAACCUUGUCCCAUUUCAUAAAGACUUUAAUAUUUUGAAAAAGCCUCACAUUCACACAGUAUUUCAGAAAUAUUAAUAUGAAAUUUAGCCAGGGAAAGAGGAUCUCUGGUGGAAUCUCCAAUUUAUUUACACAACAUAUCCAACCUCCUGCUCUCAGGGUUCAGUUUCUCAGUAUUUGGACAUUGCCACAUAUAGUGGUUUGAAAAUAAAGUCAUAAUACUAUUUUCCCUGAGCCCAGUUUGUGAGAAAUGUGUAUUCUAUUUAAAGCAAUAUCAUGUUUAAUUUCAUAACAAAAAGGAUUUCUUUUUCUGCAUUCUGAUUAUGAGUGUUCAUUCCUCUUACCUUAAAAUAUAUGCUCACAAGGGAAAAUAAAUCUGGAUUUGAAAUUUAAUUUGUAACUAUAAAAUAUGGAAUAGUUAUUUCUGUUUAUAGCAUCUUAAAAAAGGGAGUGUAAAUACACAGUGUAAGCUACUGUUUAUUGAUGCCAGAUCUGUUUUAAAGCAAUGAUAAUAACUUUUCCUCUCAAGGGAGGACACUAUUUCUUCUACAAACGAUAAAGUGUAUAUAUUAUUUCACAUUUUUAAUGCUGAAUUUUCAUCUUAGAUUUGCAGUUUGACAUUUCUUAGCUAAAAUAUUUUCACAUUCAUGUCUCACUUAUUGUCAAUAACAUCUAUCAAUUUCAAGCAAAAAGAAUAUUAAUAUUAAGAGAAGGUUAAAUUUCUUCUGGAAGGUUUUUUGUCCAGGAGGUGGUAUGGAAAAUUAUGCAUUUGGAAAAUUAUUACAAUUACUGAUACCUUAAAGAGGAAUUAUAGUCAACAGAAAAAGUGACUUUGAGUUUAUAAACAGCUCAGAGCAAAUUUUUGAGAUCACAAUCAAGCUGCUGGGAUCAAACAGUGUGUGUCUGUGUGUGAUAAACAAGGGAUUCAAUUACUGAAUGUGAAAGAAUCAUGAUUCCUCUACUAUGGAACUUACCAAAAUUAUAUAAGACAUUAGGCCACAGCAUGUCAAAAAAGUAAUAAAAUAAAGCUAUUUCCUCUGACAUUAAAAAAUGUAGCUGAUAAAACUGUCAUUGAGAAUCUGGAAAUAUUUCAGUCAAAUAUAAAAGUAUGAGGAGAAAUAAAUCAUGAAGUCCAGCCUAUUUCAUAAAACAUCAU